Small nuclear RNA from Talpa occidentalis (Iberian mole), 107 nucleotides. Lineage: Eukaryota; Metazoa; Chordata; Mammalia; Eulipotyphla; Talpidae. The record is from RefSeq and is a predicted model, not a curated record.
GUGCUCACUUCGGUAGCACAUAUUCUAAAAUUGGGAUGAUACCCAGAAAAUUAGUGUGGCCCCUGCACAAGGAUGAUGUGAAAAUUUGUGAACUGUCCCAUAUUUUU